RNAcentral lists this ribosomal RNA (327 nucleotides) under uncultured eukaryote. Its description in RNAcentral is "partial 18S ribosomal RNA". It matches the Rfam family "Eukaryotic small subunit ribosomal RNA", at positions 1470 to 1796 of the family's 1831-position model. The record is from RNAcentral.
CCCUUAGAUGUUCUGGGCCGCACGCGCGCUACACUGACGAAUGCAACGAGCUUAUAACCUUGGCCGAAAGGUCUGGGUAAUCUCCAAAUUUCGUCGUGAUGGGGAUAGAUUAUUGCAAUUAUUAAUCUUCAACGAGGAAUGCCUAGUAAGCGCAAGUCAUCAGCUUGCGUUGAUUACGUCCCUGCCCUUUGUACACACCGCCCGUCGCUCCUACCGAUUGGAUGGUCCGGUGAAGCGUUCGGACCGUGGCCUUUGGACGGUUCGCCGUCUGUUGGCUGCGGGAAGUUCGUUAAACCUUAUCAUUUAGAGGAAGGAGAAGUCGUANCA